This 322-nucleotide ribosomal RNA is filed under the name uncultured eukaryote. RNAcentral describes it as "partial 18S ribosomal RNA". It matches the Rfam family "Eukaryotic small subunit ribosomal RNA", at positions 1470 to 1796 of the family's 1831-position model. The record is from RNAcentral.
CCCUUAGAUGUUCUGGGCCGCACGCGUGCUACACUGAGUGGAUCAGCGGGUCAGGUUGCGCGAAAGUGUUUCCUAAUCUUGAAAUCCGCUCGUGAUGGGGAUUGACGGUUGCAAUUUUCCGUCAUGAACGAGGAAUACCUUGUAAGCGCGGGUCAUCAUCCCGCGCUGAAUACGUCCCUGCCCUUUGUACACACCGCCCGUCGCUCCUACCGAUUGAGUGGUCCGGUGAGGCUUUGGGAUCUGAGCAAAAAGAGCGUUUCGCUCGUUUGGCUCGGAAAACUCAGCCGAACCUUAUCAUUUAGAGGAAGGAGAAGUCGUAACA